GUUCCGUUCCCAUCGCUCUCACCUGCCCAGGUCGCAGGGACGCGGUGAGGACGCUUCGGAGAAGCCGGAAGGAGUCGGUGAGAUGGACUCGGUGGGCUUUGAGGACAUGGCUGUGAACUUCACCGCGGAGGAGUGGGCUUUGCUGGACCCGGUUCAGAGGAAGCUCUACAGAGACGUGAUGCUGGAGACCUUCAGGAACCUGGCGUCCGUGGGGUCUUGCCCUCAAGUUAAAACCAGUGGAUCAAGUCUUCAGUGGGAUAUUUCGGAUAAUGAACUAUGCAGUGAAGAGAAAAUAGUAAGAUUCAGAAGAAAUGAUCCCUAGUCUGUUUUUGGAGAAAACUGGGCAUUUCAUAACAUGUGUGAUCAGCAUGUAACCCAGGAGAGGCGUUUGAGAAAUCAUUUGGUGGAGAGUCUCUGUGAAGGUAAAGGAGAUCAUCAAUGUGGAGAAACCCUGAACCAGAUUACAAAUCUUACUGUGCAUAAGGGUUAUCCCACUGCAGUUCAGCCCUAUAAAUGCACUAGUGUGGAAAAACCUUCAGGGAUCAUUCUUUCCAGAGGAAUCAGCAAAGAUCUCACCCUGGACACAAACCUUAUCCAUGUGAAGGAUGUGGGCAAGCCUGCAGCUCUGUCUCGUGCCUAAAUCCUCCUGGGGAAACAGACAUUGUAGAGAAAUGUGAUAAACAUCAGGAUGCUGGGAGACCAUCUAAGAGGUACAUGAAGAGUGACAGUAGUAAACAGUCUUUAGAGCGUAAGAAAUCUGGAAAAGCUCUCACUUGCCUGCCAUCUGUUCAGUGACGUAAGAGAGGUCAUUACGGACGGAAAUCCACGUGUGUGAAGUAUGUGGGAAAUCCUUCAGUUAUUAUUCCCAGAUUGCACGGCAUGUGAGAACUCACACUGGAGAGAAACCGUAUGAAUGUAAAGAAUGUGGGAAAGCUUUCACUCGCAGCACACAGUUUCGAGAACAUGUGAGAAUGCACACUGGAGAGAAACCCUAUGAACGUAAGCAGUGUGGGAAAGCCUUCCCAUAUUGCAAAUCCCUGCAAGGACACAUGGGAAUGCACACUAGAGAGAAGCCUUCUCAUGUGUGUAAUGAAUGUGGAAAAGCCUUCCAUUGUCCCAGGUACAUUAGAAGGCACAUAAAAAGACACAGUGGAAUAAAACCCUAUGAAUGUACAGAAUGUGGGAAAGCGUUCAUUACUCCCUCAUCCCUUCGAGAACAUACGAGAACACACAGUGAAGAGAAGCCCUAUCAGUGUCAGCAUUGUGGAAAAGUCUUCAGGCUUCAGAGAUCUCUGCAAGGACACAUGAUUACCCACAGUGAUGAGAAACCCCAUCAGUGUCAGCAGUGUAUGGUAUAUCAGAGAUAUACCAUAUCUCUGAAAGGACGCAUGAAAACACACAGUAAAAAGAAACCGUGUGAAUGUCAGCAGUGUGAAAAAGCCUACUGUUAUUUCAUAUCCCUGCAAAGACACAUGAAAACACACACUGUGGGAAAACUUGAAUCCAAGAAUAGUGGGAAAGCCAUAAUUCUUUCUUAAAACUUAAAAGUGGGAGCAAAACAGUGUCAAGAAUUUUUUUUUUUGCACCACAUGGCUUGUGGGAUCUUAGUUCCUCAACCAGGGAUCGAACCCAGGCCCCCUGCAGUGGAAGCACGGAGUCCUAAGCACUGGACCACCAGGGAAUUGCUGAGCAAUCUUAUGAAUGGAAAAAAUGUUGGAAAAAUUUUUUUCCUUUGUAAGUACCUUAUCCUCAAUACUGAUCUCAGUAUAUUAAUUUGUACUUCAUGUUGCUGAUCUGAACACAUACUAAGUAUCCCUCCAUGUUCGUCUCUACCACUUACAUUUUGUUAUCUCUGAGUUUAUAUCAUUGUACAAUCAUAUAAAACUUGUCUCAUUUCCAUUAGAAUGUCUUUGAUACCAGGGGUGCUAAGUGGCUUUUGGUUUGUGAUUUUUUUCAUGUGCAACUUGUGAUUUCUUUCAUUUUUGAUGAACAGAUUUUUGAUUCUUACUUUUCAUUAUGUUCCAUUAUGUUCCUAAUAUGUGAUCAUGAUAUGAGGCUGGCAUUAAUUAAAUGUCUUUCCUUGUCCACUGUUAAGAGAUACUGGAAUCUCCUGAAUCAA
This is a long non-coding RNA of Balaenoptera musculus (blue whale), 2119 nucleotides long. RefSeq lists it as uncharacterized. The transcript has 4 exons. NCBI's taxonomy places the organism in Eukaryota, Metazoa, Chordata, Mammalia, Artiodactyla, Balaenopteridae. The record is from RefSeq and is a predicted model, not a curated record.